RNAcentral lists this ribosomal RNA (361 nucleotides) under Clostridioides difficile. Its description in RNAcentral is "bacterial LSU rRNA". It matches the Rfam family "Bacterial large subunit ribosomal RNA", at positions 2361 to 2721 of the family's 2925-position model. Lineage: Bacteria; Bacillati; Bacillota; Clostridia; Peptostreptococcales; Peptostreptococcaceae. The record is from RNAcentral.
AAGAGAGCUUGAUUGCAAGACAUACAGGUCGAGCAAGGAUGAAAAUCGGACUUAGUGAUCCGGUGGUUCUGCGUGGAAGGGCCAUCGCUCAACGGAUAAAAGCUACCCUGGGGAUAACAGGCUUAUCUCCCCCAAGAGUCCACAGCGACGGGGAGGUUUGGCACCUCGAUGUCGGCUCAUCACAUCCUGGGGCUGUAGUAGGUCCCAAGGGUUGGGCGGUUCGCCCAUUAAAGUGGUACGCGAGCUGGGUUCAGAACGUCGUGAGACAGUUCGGUCCCUAUCCGUCGCAGGCGUAGGAAAUUUGAGAAGACCUGUCCUUAGUACGAGAGGACCGGGAUGGACGUACCUCUGGUGUACCAGU